CUUUUUUCGGUUGAGUGAUUUGCUACAUCACCUACCAGAAUGAUGCCUAUGCAUUGGUCAUGGAGUAUGGCUUGACUUGAUUGAAUUUUUGCCAAGACUUUCUUACACCACAGGAUGUAGUCCUGAAGGAAAUUGUUUAUCCCAACUUAAUUGGACAAAAUUUUCUCCAGGAUCAUGAAAGCAAAAGUCUCUUGCUUGUAAAAUGUGGUAACAUUAUCAGUAGGUAUCUUUAUGUUCAAGGCAAGGAUGGGAAAGGUUUCAUCACCUUUCAAGACACUCCUUAUGAUUACGAUUAGUAAUUAUUUUAAACUAGCUGUUCAGUGUAUUUCAUACUCAAUCAUCAAAUGUAAUGUGAAAUGUCUGUCCAAAUUUAAUCUGUUAAUACCAUUAUUCCAGUGGAAAAAUUACCUUUAGCAAGCAACUGUGUUAGUAUUGUGUUAUCAGGUCUUAAAUUUGUGCACUAUAGAAGCUUACUUGACCUUAUGACCCCCUUUUGGAGGUAGGAUUUUUGAUAUUACAUGUGCCAGGUUUUAAGCCAUAUGCAUCAUGCUCUGUUGUGUAAAGAACAGAAUAUGCAUUCCAAGUUACUCAGGAAUGUACUGGGGAUAAACUUGAUGAAAUCUUGUCAAGAACAUUUUAAAUUUUUACUGAUCUUAAAAUUAUGAUUCUUACCAAACUCUUAGACAAACUUAAAACUUUUGUAAAGAUUCUUACAAGAUUCUUCAAAACACUAGUCUAGAGUCAAAGUGUUACUUGUCCUUGAGGAUUUCCAUAUCCAUUUGAUCUUUCCAAACCAAAGCAAAAAGUUUGCUAUCUUUAGAAAGAGACCAAGCAUGUAGCAGCCAAUUGUUAUGAAUAUGACAGGAGCAACAAAAAAUAAACUGGAGAUAUGAAUACUUGACAAAUGCAAAAUUUGUGGUUCACCCGUCCAUCAGCAUGACGUUUUUUACUUAUAUUCUAAGAACAAAGUCGUAUAUCGAAAGGCAAUCUAUUGUUAUUCCCAUUCUCUUUUCUCUUUUCAGAGAACAGAGAGCAUAAGCAAGUAUGUGGUUUUACGGAGAUCUUACCAAAAGUCACGGUUGAGCAGUCAUCACUGGACCUCCUCUUCAUGCAGAGACCGGAUUGUGGCGAGCCCCUCGUGGAGGACAUCCCUCAAAAAAUGAAAAAGUUUGAUCGAAGUCAGUAGACGGUUUGAGAUGUGUAACCGAGAGUUAUUGAAAGACGAAAAGAGUUUACAAAAUAGAAAAAAUGGAAGAAACAUUACGAUUCUCUUCCACGAGACUUGGCAAAUAUUGAUGCUGUUGUAAGGAACUGCGUCCGUCGUCUUGGAGAUCGUUUGAUCAAGAAUGGAAGAAAAAGACUGGAACAUUUUCGCGGCGUUUUAUGGCCACAAUAGUGUCUCUUUUAGCUUCUCUGUGGCCGGGAAAUGCGUCAUUUCAACCCAAAUACCUUGCAUAUCGUCCAUUCUGCCAAGGCGUCGAUGAGAGUGUUUCUUCGAGUCUGCUGAAGCGAGUGGUUUGAAUUCGACGACGAAGAAGGAUGGAUGAAUGUCCUUUUGUCACAACUUUUCUCAAGGACAGCGUUAGGCACGGAAUGAGGCUGUCACCAAAUCAAGGCUAAAUCGAAUUGAAUUCAAGGGAGGAAAGGAAGACAAGGCAACUUACUAAAACGUCGACAGAUGCACGAAUAAAAAACAAGAAAAGGCUGUAAGACAAUAUUUAUCCAGAGGUAGAAAACAAAUGUAGCCCAUUUCUUCCAAGAUGCAGCGAGUCAACUAAGAGACAUUCACCAAAGUCGACGACUUGAAGCCAAACGUGAGCAAAUGGUGUGACGCGAUUUUGUUGGACUUUGAAAUUUUAUUUGUCGGCCUAAUAUCCAUGGCAUGGACUGCUUAAAAAUUUUUAAUUUUCCCGCCAAAAAACUUAGAAAAAAUACGGGUACCUUUAACUACGCAUGCGCCAAUUUUUUAUUUAGUCUGUAACUAACAUCUGUUCAGAUAUGGCUUAUUUUCCCGCCAAAAGACUUAGAAAAAUCGGCGCCUAAAAAUACGCAUGCGCCAUAUUUUUUUUUUUUUGUUGAUCGAAGUUGUACACAAGCGAAUAUAGUUAAGUUAAUAAACUUCAUCUUUAUUUCCA
Pocillopora damicornis (cauliflower coral) is the source of this 2135-nucleotide long non-coding RNA. RefSeq lists it as uncharacterized. Lineage: Eukaryota; Metazoa; Cnidaria; Anthozoa; Scleractinia; Pocilloporidae. The record is from RefSeq and is a predicted model, not a curated record.